GACGAACGCUGGCGGCGUGCCUAAUACAUGCAAGUAGAACGCUGAAGAGAGGAGCUUGCUCUUCUUGGAUGAGUUGCGAACGGGUGAGUAACGCGUAGGUAACCUGCCUGGUAGCGGGGGAUAACUAUUGGAAACGAUAGCUAAUACCGCAUAAAAUUGAUUAUUGCAUGAUAAUUAAUUGAAAGAUGCAAUUGCAUCACUACCAGAUGGACCUGCGUUGUAUUAGCUAGUUGGUGAGGUAACGGCUCACCAAGGCGACGAUACAUAGCCGACCUGAGAGGGUGAUCGGCCACACUGGGACUGAGACACGGCCCAGACUCCUACGGGAGGCAGCAGUAGGGAAUCUUCGGCAAUGGGGGGAACCCUGACCGAGCAACGCCGCGUGAGUGAAGAAGGUUUUCGGAUCGUAAAGCUCUGUUGUAAGAGAAGAACGGGUGUGAGAGUGGAAAGUUCACACUGUGACGGUAUCUUACCAGAAAGGGACGGCUAACUACGUGCCAGCAGCCGCGGUAAUACGUAGGUCCCGAGCGUUGUCCGGAUUUAUUGGGCGUAAAGCGAGCGCAGGCGGUUAGAUAAGUCUGAAGUUAAAGGCUGUGGCUUAACCAUAGUAUGCUUUGGAAACUGUUUAACUUGAGUGCAGAAGGGGAGAGUGGAAUUCCAUGUGUAGCGGUGAAAUGCGUAGAUAUAUGGAGGAACACCGGUGGCGAAAGCGGCUCUCUGGUCUGUAACUGACGCUGAGGCUCGAAAGCGUGGGGAGCAAACAGGGUUAGAUACCCUGGUAGUCCACGCCGUAAACGAUGAGUGCUAGGUGUUAGGCCCUUUCCGGGGCUUAGUGCCGCAGCUAACGCAUUAAGCACUCCGCCUGGGGAGUACGACCGCAAGGUUGAAACUCAAAGGAAUUGACGGGGGCCCGCACAAGCGGUGGAGCAUGUGGUUUAAUUCGAAGCAACGCGAAGAACCUUACCAGGUCUUGACAUCCCUCUGACCGCUCUAGAGAUAGAGUUUUCCUUCGGGACAGAGGUGACAGGUGGUGCAUGGUUGUCGUCAGCUCGUGUCGUGAGAUGUUGGGUUAAGUCCCGCAACGAGCGCAACCCCUAUUGUUAGUUGCCAUCAUUCAGUUGGGCACUCUAGCGAGACUGCCGGUAAUAAACCGGAGGAAGGUGGGGAUGACGUCAAAUCAUCAUGCCCCUUAUGACCUGGGCUACACACGUGCUACAAUGGCUGGUACAACGAGUCGCAAGCCGGUGACGGCAAGCUAAUCUCUGAAAGCCAGUCUCAGUUCGGAUUGUAGGCUGCAACUCGCCUACAUGAAGUCGGAAUCGCUAGUAAUCGCGGAUCAGCACGCCGCGGUGAAUACGUUCCCGGGCCU
This 1369-nucleotide ribosomal RNA is filed under the name uncultured bacterium. RNAcentral describes it as "bacterial SSU rRNA". It matches the Rfam family "Bacterial small subunit ribosomal RNA", at positions 28 to 1381 of the family's 1533-position model. The record is from RNAcentral.